This 1350-nucleotide ribosomal RNA is filed under the name metagenome. Its description in RNAcentral is "bacterial LSU rRNA". It matches the Rfam family "Bacterial large subunit ribosomal RNA", at positions 1564 to 2925 of the family's 2925-position model. The record is from RNAcentral.
UGAGUCCGAGGAACUAAGGUUCCAAAGUGAUGCGAGACAUACUUCCCAGAAAAGCCCGAACCACGUUAAUUUCUAAUUACCUGUACCCGAAACCGACACAGGUAGGAAGGUAGAGAAUACUAAGGGGCGCGAGAUAACUCUCUCUAAGGAACUCGGCAAAAUUACCCCGUAACUUUGGGAGAAGGGGUGCCACCGCAAGGUGGUCGCAGUGAAUAGGCCCAGGCGACUGUUUACCAAAAACACAGGUCUCCGCCAAGUCGCAAGACGCAGUAUGGGGGCUGACGCCUGCCCCGGCCGGAAGGUUAAUUGAUGGGGUUAGCUUCGGCGAAGCUCUUGAUCGAAGCCCCGGUAAACGGCGGCCGUAACGAUAACGGUCCUAAGGUAGCGAAAUUCCUUGUCGGGUAAGUUCCGACCUGCACGAAUGGCGUAAUGAUGGCCACACAGUCUCCACCCGAGACUCAGUGAAAUUGAAAUCGCAGUUAAGAUGCUGCGUUCCCGCGGCUAGACGGAAAGACCCCGUGAACCUUUACUACAGCUUUACACUGGACUUUGAACCUAUCUGUGUAGGAUAGGUGGGAGGCUUUGAAGCCGAAUCGCCAGAUUUGGUGGAGCCAACCUUGAAAUACCACCCUGGUAUGUUUGAAGUUCUAACCCAGGCGCUACAACGUCGGGGACAGUGUAUGGUGGGUAGUUUGACUGGGGCGGUCUCCUCCCAAAGAGUAACGGAGGAGCACGAAGGUACCCUAAGUACUGUCGGACAUCGUACGGUUAGUGCAAAGGCAUAAGGGUGCUUGACUGCGAGACAGACAUGUCGAGCAGGUACGAAAGUAGGUCUUAGUGAUCCGGUGGUUCUGUGUGGAAGGGCCAUCGCUCAACGGAUAAAAGGUACUCCGGGGAUAACAGGCUGAUACCGCCCAAGAGUUCAUAUCGACGGCGGUGUUUGGCACCUCGAUGUCGGCUCAUCACAUCCUGGGGCUGAAGUCGGUCCCAAGGGUAUGGCUGUUCGCCAUUUAAAGUGGUACGCGAGCUGGGUUUAGAACGUCGUGAGACAGUUCGGUCCCUAUCUGCCGUGGGCGUUUGAGAAUUGAGGGAAGCUGCUCCUAGUACGAGAGGACCGGAGUGGACGAUCCUCUGGUGUUCCGGUUAUCACGCCAGUGGUAUUGCCGGGUAGCUAUGAUCGGACAGGAUAACCGCUGAAAGCAUCUAAGCGGGAAGCCCCUCCCAAGAUAAAUUCUCACUAGACUCUUGAAGUCUCUGAAGGGCCGUUGAAGACUACAACGUUGAUAGGCUGGGUGUGGAAGUGCAGCAAUGUAUGAAGCUAACCAGUACUAAUUGCCCGUGCGGCUUGAC